This 574-nucleotide ribosomal RNA is filed under the name uncultured Arthrobacter sp. RNAcentral describes it as "bacterial SSU rRNA". It matches the Rfam family "Bacterial small subunit ribosomal RNA", at positions 334 to 918 of the family's 1533-position model. Lineage: Bacteria; Bacillati; Actinomycetota; Actinomycetes; Micrococcales; Micrococcaceae. The record is from RNAcentral.
GACUCCUACGGGAGGCAGCAGUGGGGAAUAUUGCACAAUGGGCGCAAGCCUGAUGCAGCGACGCCGCGUGAGGGAUGAAUGCCUUCGGGUUGUAAACCUCUUUCAGUAGGGAAGAAGCGAAAGUGACGGUACCUGCAGAAGAAGCGCCGGCUAACUACGUGCCAGCAGCCGCGGUAAUACGUAGGGCGCAAGCGUUAUCCGGAAUUAUUGGGCGUAAAGAGCUCGUAGGCGGUUUGUCGCGUCUGCUGUGAAAGCCCGGGGCUCAACCCCGGGUCUGCAGUGGGUACGGGCAGACUGGAGUGCAGUAGGGGAGACUGGAAUUCCUGGUGUAGCGGUGAAAUGCGCAGAUAUCAGGAGGAACACCGAUGGCGAAGGCAGGUCUCUGGGCUGUUACUGACGCUGAGGAGCGAAAGCAUGGGGAGCGAACAGGAUUAGAUACCCUGGUAGUCCAUGCCGUAAACGUUGGGCACUAGGUGUGGGGGACAUUCCACGUUUUCCGCGCCGUAGCUAACGCAUUAAGUGCCCCGCCUGGGGAGUACGGCCGCAAGGCUAAAACUCAAAUGAAUUGACGGGG